Panicum virgatum (switchgrass) is the source of this 1615-nucleotide long non-coding RNA. RefSeq lists it as uncharacterized. The record is from RefSeq and is a predicted model, not a curated record. NCBI's taxonomy places the organism in Eukaryota, Viridiplantae, Streptophyta, Magnoliopsida, Poales, Poaceae. The transcript has 6 exons.
CCUAUCAUCAAGGUUCCCUGAGAGUAAGGGCGGCACCAGGAGGAUGUUGAUGGGGUUUCUAAGAAAAAGAAAAAGAAAUAGAAAAAGAAAGGGAGGGGCAAACCACAACAGUCAACUGCCCAGACUCAGUCACAUCUGUUGCCGCCUGUACCACCACUCAACGCUGAACCCACUCUGAGUGCUUCUAAGGAGGAGGAAAAGAAAUUGAAGAUGGCAGCCACCAUAGCCACGUCCGGCUCCUCAUAUGUGACCUCACCUCCGCAGACAAAAAAAGGUAAGCCUUCUAGAGAAGUUUGUUGUUCAUGAUGCAGAUCCCCUGAUGGAGAUGCCCAGCAUCGAUCAAUUGCCAGAGAAAGGGGAUGUAAAAGAGAAGUUGGUUCCUAAACUGCCUGAUCCCGUGCAUAAAGUUUUCUUUAUCAAGGCCAUAUCAUAUUUGGGCCGCCGGUUCAGAAUUGUUCUUCAGGAUGAGAAUGGACCCUGUGCAUUUAUUGCUAUUUCUAAUUUCCUCAUCCUUGACAGUAGAAUCACUUUGCCAUAUUCGACGAUAGUGUUAGCAGCUGACUUAGUCGAGUUCGUCUUCUCACAUGUCUUUGAAAACAUGAAGAGUGAAGAAUAUGAUUCUGCAUAUGCUGCGGUGAAGCAAUCCAAAACUGGCCUGAAUAUUGAUAUCCUCUGUUCAAGGUGUGGUUAGCGAGGUUUUUAUGCAGUAGUCUGUCCCUCAUUUGUAUAUUGUGCAGCAUUAAUGGGUUUACAGAAACUGCUCAAUAUAAGAUCUUCAAAGUCCUCAAUAUCCCAUUAUAUCAUUGCUGGGUGUUAAACCUCGAUCUUCAGGAGGGAAAAGAACUACAAGCUGCAGUUGAGGACAGGUCCUAUGAUAGACUUGAGUUGGAUCGGGCUGGAUACAGGUCUGUUAAAGAGGCAGAUGGGUCUUCUUCAAGUGAAUCUUCAGCAAGAAAGGAUAUGGACCAUAGAUAUGAUCUGAUAGAUAAAUUUUUUUUCUGAUAGCUGUGGACAAAAAACAGAUUUUGGGUUGGUUUCUUUAAAGAAGAAUGUAAAAGAAAAAGAUCUCUUUGCUUUUUUCGGGAACAACCAUUUUAGCAUCAUAUAUAAGGUAUUGUAAUUUGCUAAUUCUUGUAUCUGAUUGUUCUUAUACCUUUGUAUGUUGGUCUUUUUUUACUUUUCAGCAUAAUAUAACCUUUUUUAGUUUGAUAACUGAUGCUGGUAAGGAGUCGUGGAAGAUGCUUGAUGACAAUGUAUGUCCUUUCUGUUACUUCUCUUUGAUUUAGGCAGUAACUUUUGUAAUUACUGAUUUUUUUAUUUUUGUGAUAAAAACAUAAUUAGCUUCUGGAAUCUGGUCUACCUGUGGAGGACAAAUUGACACCAUUGGAUCAAACGUUGUGUUAGCGAGGCUGUUAGCAAGGCUUAUAGUGGGCCGGCCUUUGGGCCUUGGCGCCUAGCCUAGGCGGCUAGGGUUUUAGAUGGGUUAUGGUAAUUGAUCUCGAUUAGGCAAGGAUCUCCGUUGAUUGUGUGUGUUCUAUAAACCCUAGAUACCGAUCCUUGCCUAUAUAAUGUACCCCAUGUACUCUCGUUAAUCAAUCACCAAUUUCCCGUGCCA